Molecule: long non-coding RNA, 431 nt
Organism: Alosa alosa (allis shad)
Lineage: Eukaryota; Metazoa; Chordata; Actinopteri; Clupeiformes; Clupeidae
Exons: 3
Source: RefSeq, a predicted model, not a curated record
GUGAUUUGUGUCCUUAGGAAAACAGUGAAGUUAUCAGUGAAAGAGAAGAACAGACAGAAUGUUUCACAUCAAUGCAGGAAAACAAUGAAGAUAGCAGCCAAAGAGAAGAGCAAACAGAAGAACCCUACACAUUGGCAGAGGACAGAAAUAUCCAUUCCCAUGGAUUAACCGAAGAGCAAAGCUGCAUCUCAAUACUAUCCUUAGCACUGAAACACAACACUACAGGUGUAUUGAUGGAAGAUCUACUGAAACUUCUAAGAUUACAUUCUGCUGGGACAAGUGCAGUUCCUGCAAGCAAGUAUUUUUUGGAGAAACCAUUAGCUAGUCUUGUAGAUGUGUUUGAAUACCAUCAUUAUUGCAGACUAUGCUCUAAAUACCUUGGUAUAUCACAAUCACAAGAAUGCACACAAGAAACACUUUCAUGUGUGUCA